Molecule: ribosomal RNA, 254 nt
Filed under: uncultured bacterium
Lineage: Bacteria
Description: partial 16S ribosomal RNA
Rfam family: Bacterial small subunit ribosomal RNA
Source: RNAcentral
UACGUAGGGGCCAAGCGUUGUCCGGAUUCAUUGGGCGUAAAGAGCUCGUAGGCGGUUCAGUCAGUCGGGUGUGAAAUCUCCGGGCUCAACCCGGAGGGGCCACCCGAUACUGCUGUGACUCGAGUCCGGUAGGGGAGUGGGGAAUUCCUGGUGUAGCGGUGAAAUGCGCAGAUAUCAGGAGGAACACCGGUGGCGAAGGCGCCACUCUGGGCCGGUACUGACGCUGAGGAGCGAAAGCGUGGGUAGCAAACAGG